RNAcentral lists this ribosomal RNA (1194 nucleotides) under Schistosoma mansoni. RNAcentral describes it as "partial large subunit ribosomal RNA". It matches the Rfam family "Eukaryotic large subunit ribosomal RNA", at positions 101 to 909 of the family's 3401-position model. Lineage: Eukaryota; Metazoa; Platyhelminthes; Trematoda; Strigeidida; Schistosomatidae. The record is from RNAcentral.
GGAUUAGCCCAACACCGAAGCCUGCGGUUAUUUGAUCGUAAGGCAAUGUGGUGUUUAGGGUGGCUUCAGGCAUUACUGCUCUGUCCCAAGUCCAGCAAUGAGUACGGCUUCCCAUUCUGGCCCAAAGAGGGUGAAAGGCCCGUGGGGGCAGAGAUCAAGUGUGACAGUUUUGCUCUGAGCUACCCUUGGAGUCGGGUUGUUUGUGAAUGCAGCCCAAAGUGGGUGGUAAACUCCAUCCAAGGCUAAAUACUUACACGAGUCCGAUAGCAAACAAGUACCGUGAGGGAAAGUUGAAAAGUACUUUGAAGAGAGAGUAAACAGUGCGUGAAACCGCUCAAAGGUAAACGGGUGGAGUUGAACUGCAAGCUCUGGGAAUUCAGCUGAUGAGUGUGAUUUGUACUUGGGCAUACUGGCCGCCUUCAGUGUCUGUUUAACCGCAGGUGCCUUCCUUUUUGGUGGGUAUGUGUGAAUCGUUUGCUUACGACGCGCGCACUGUUGGUGUGAGGGUCUGCUUGUCAGUGCACUUUCUCAGGGUGUUCACCACGACCGGCACUGCUGCCUGUCUGCUAUGGUCAAACUGAUCAGGUCUGAUUUCUGUCAGUCUUGGUUGGGUCGGUAGGUGGCUCUUUGGCUCAUUUAUGGGCCGUGAGUGUUACUAACUGGCUGUAGUGGAUCUGUGCGGUGUGUCGGAGAUGGCGGCUUCGCAUGCGUGCUUAGACCUUCGGGCAUUGCUGAGUGUGGUCGGUUUGUUACUAGCUUCGGCUGGUCGGCUGAUGGCUUGGUUUUGUCACGUCGGCGGUUGCGUGUGUGGUUUGCAUUGGGCCAAUAGUCUGUGGUGUAGUGGUAGACGAUCCACCUGACCCGUCUUGAAACACGGACCAAGGAGUUUAACAUGUGCGCGAGUCAUUGGGUGUUACGAAACCCAAAGGCGAAGUGAAGGUAAAGGUUCGGCUUGUCCGGACUAAGGUGAGAUCCUGUUGUCUUGCUCAUACUUUCCAAGUUGCGAGCAGCGGGCGCAUCACCGGCCCGUCCCAUGACGUAGACAUGUGACCUCGUGUUGUGUGCACCGUCGGGGCGGAGCAAGAGCGUACACGUUGAGACCCGAAAGAUGGUGAACUAUGCUUGUGAAGGUUGAAGCCAGAGGAAACUCUGGUGGAGGACCGUAGCGAUUCUGACGUGCAAAUCGAUCGUAUA